CUUAUACUCCCUUCUUCCAGAAAUAUUUGUCGAAAAAAUUGAUAUAUCUAGACGUAUUUGAAUAUACAUCCACUUUUAUUCGUUUCUUCGACGAAUAUUUCUGGACAGAGGGAGUACUCA
Non-coding RNA from Triticum urartu, 120 nucleotides. The record is from Rfam. Lineage: Eukaryota; Viridiplantae; Streptophyta; Magnoliopsida; Poales; Poaceae.